CCUACGGGCGGCAGCAGUGAGGAAUAUUGGUCAAUGGCCGGAAGGCUGAACCAGCCAAGCCGCGUGAGGGAGGAAGGCGCAGAGCGUCGCAGACCUCUUUUGCCGGGGGACAAAAGGCCGGACUCGUCCGGUCCUGAGGGUACCCGGAGAAAAAGCAUCGGCUAACUCCGUGCCAGCAGCCGCGGUAAUACGGAGGAUGCGAGCGUUAUCCGGAUUCAUUGGGUUUAAAGGGUGCGCAGGCGGAGGUGCAAGUCAGCGGUCAAAUUGCGGGGCUCAACCCCGUACUGCCGUUGAAACUGCAUCCCUUGAGUGCGCGAGAAGUAUGCGGAAUGCGUGGUGUAGCGGUGAAAUGCAUAGAUAUCACGCAGAACUCCGAUUGCGAAGGCAGCAUACCGGCGCGCAACUGACGCUCAUGCACGAAAGCGUGGGUAUCGAACAGGAUUAGAUACCCGGGUAGUC
This 459-nucleotide ribosomal RNA is filed under the name uncultured bacterium. Its description in RNAcentral is "partial 16S ribosomal RNA". It matches the Rfam family "Bacterial small subunit ribosomal RNA", at positions 338 to 795 of the family's 1533-position model. The record is from RNAcentral.